GGACUUGACAUACACCGGAAAGCAUCAGAGAUGGUGCCCCCCCUUGUGGUCGGUGUACAGGUGGUGCAUGGCUGUCGUCAGCUCGUGUCGUGAGAUGUUGGGUUAAGUCCCGCAACGAGCGCAACCCUUGUCCCGUGUUGCCAGCAACUCUUCGGAGGUUGGGGACUCACGGGAGACCGCCGGGGUCAACUCGGAGGAAGGUGGGGACGACGUCAAGUCAUCAUGCCCCUUAUGUCUUGGGCUGCACACGUGCUACAAUGGCCGGUACAAUGAGCUGCGAUACCGCAAGGUGGAGCGAAUCUCAAAAAAGCCGGUCUCAGUUCGGAUUGGGGUCUGCAACUCGACCCCAUGAAGUCGGAGUCGCUAGUAAUCGCAGAUCAGCAUUGCUGCGGUGAAUACGUUCCCGGGCCUUGUACACACCGCCCGUCACGUCACGAAAGUCGGUAACACCCGAAGCCGGUGGCCCAACCCCUUGUGGGAGGGAGCUGUCGAAGGUGGGACUGGCGAUUGGGACGAAGUCGUAACAAGGUAAGCGUAGCGAG
Molecule: ribosomal RNA, 542 nt
Filed under: uncultured bacterium
Lineage: Bacteria
Description: bacterial SSU rRNA
Rfam family: Bacterial small subunit ribosomal RNA
Source: RNAcentral